This 468-nucleotide ribosomal RNA is filed under the name uncultured bacterium. RNAcentral's name for it is "partial 16S ribosomal RNA". It matches the Rfam family "Bacterial small subunit ribosomal RNA", at positions 28 to 507 of the family's 1533-position model. The record is from RNAcentral.
GACGAACGCUGGCGGCGUGCUUAACACAUGCGAGUCGAACGGAAAGGCCCUGCUUUUGUGGGGUGCUCGGCUGGCGAACGGGUGAGUCACACGUGAGUAACCUGCCCCUGCCUUUGGGCUAACUUCAGGAAACUGGGACUCAUACCGGAUAGGAGCUCCUGCUGCAUGGGGGGGGUAGGCAAGUUUGGGCGGUUGGGGAUGGACUCCGGGCUUAUCAGCUUGUUGGUGGGGUGGUGGCUUACCAAGGCUUUGGCGGGUGGCCGGCCUGGGGGGGGGACCGGCCACAUGGGGACUGAGAUAGGGCCCGGACUCCGAGGGGGGGAAGAAGGGGGGAAUAUUGCACAAGGGGCGGAAGCCUGAGGCAGCAACGCCGCGGGCGGGAGGACGGCCUUGGGGUGGUAAACCGCUUUCGCCGGUGACGAAGCGGGAGUGACGGUAAUGGGUAAAGAAGCACCGGCUAACUACGUG